GCCGGGGUGGUGGAAUUGGUAGACACGCUAGCUUGAGGGGCUAGUGGAAAAAUACUUCCGUGCGAGUUCAAGUCUCGCCUCCGGCACCA
RNAcentral lists this transfer RNA (89 nucleotides) under Candidatus Poribacteria bacterium. Its description in RNAcentral is "tRNA-Leu". It matches the Rfam family "tRNA". Rfam says of the family: Transfer RNA (tRNA) molecules are approximately 80 nucleotides in length. Their secondary structure includes four short double-helical elements and three loops (D, anti-codon, and T loops). The record is from RNAcentral. Lineage: Bacteria; Candidatus Poribacteria.